GCCUUGGUCGGAAACCAAGGCCUGUCUAAGGAG
This is a regulatory RNA element of Gordonibacter pamelaeae 7-10-1-b, 33 nucleotides long. It matches the Rfam family "L31-Coriobacteria ribosomal protein leader". Lineage: Bacteria; Bacillati; Actinomycetota; Coriobacteriia; Eggerthellales; Eggerthellaceae. The record is from Rfam.